Molecule: long non-coding RNA, 624 nt
Filed under: Olea europaea (common olive)
Lineage: Eukaryota; Viridiplantae; Streptophyta; Magnoliopsida; Lamiales; Oleaceae
Description: long non-coding RNA (OEUR_LNC010768)
Source: RNAcentral
AACAUAUUCUUUAAGGGAUUAUUGAUAUGAUUAGCCAUAUAUGGUUGAUGCAACAUAUUUUUGAACCUUUGUUACAUUUGCAGGACUUGUUGGCCCCUAAUGUCCUGCUCUCUUUUUCUGUCUUCACUGUUCAAUCAGAAUGAGGAUUCCAGAAUCACAGGGGUCAGUUGACCUCUCAAAAAGAUUGUCUUAGCUGGAGAUAGUAUCCAUUGGCGAUAUUUUGCCUGAAUUCGUGGAGAAGUGACGCCACCAUUAGGUACUAUGUGGGCUUAUUCUAGCAUGGAAGAUUAUGUGCAGGAAAUUGUUUCUUUGCAGUGCAAUUUCAAUGACUUGCAAUACUUUUCACAUCAAAAGUUCGACUGUUCCAGAGAAAUGACUGUUAUCAUUCAUAAUCUCCUUUUUCUCUUAAGUUUUUGGGGGAAUUAAUGCCCAAGGAUAUGAGGUGUAGAAAUAGAAUAUGAGUUUGAUCGAGGAAAUUCUGUACAGUGUAGUUACAUUAUCCGAAUCUUUUGGGUUCACAGGGUUGGAAAUCAGUCAAAUAUUCGUGUAAUCUGUUGCAACAGUUUUUUAAUAUCUUUAAACUUUCGAAGUAAAAAUUGAUUUAAUUUUUAGUUUCUUCUUUUA